UACAGAGGUCCCAAGCGUUGUUCGGAUUCACUGGGCGUAAAGGGUGCGCAGGUGGUCGGGUAAGUCUGACGUGAAAUCCCGCAGCUUAACUGCGGAAUGGCAUUGGAUACUAUUCGGCUAGAGGGUUGGAAGGGGGACUGGAAUUCUCGGUGUAGCAGUGAAAUGCGUAGAUAUCGAGAGGAACACCAGUGGCGAAGGCGAGUCCCUGGACAACUCCUGACGCUGAGGCACGAAAGCUAGGGGAGCAAACGGG
Molecule: ribosomal RNA, 253 nt
Filed under: uncultured bacterium
Lineage: Bacteria
Description: partial 16S ribosomal RNA
Rfam family: Bacterial small subunit ribosomal RNA
Source: RNAcentral